UUCUAAGGCUAUGAAAAAAACUAACCAUCCUUAAAGAAUUUAUAUCGGCAUUAGUAAUUCUAAUAUUUAUUUCUUAGAGCAAAACCACUAAUUGUUAGUUAAACUCUUUUUUUAUUAUACAAUGCUUUUACUGAUAAAAGUUCUAUCCUCAUUUUAAUAAAAGAUUAUUUAAGUUUCUAUCUAAUGAAUUUUACGGAUUUGCUAACGUAUUAUUAAUUGAGUAACCUUUUUCAAAAUUGUCCCUAAUGCUGUGAAACCAAUACUAAUUUCAACACAAAUAACUAAAACUUUAAUUAUCUUCUUUUUCAUUAGCUUUUAUCUCGAAAACAAAAAU
This 334-nucleotide unclassified non-coding RNA is filed under the name Enterococcus faecalis V583. RNAcentral describes it as "Ref8C3". The record is from RNAcentral. Lineage: Bacteria; Bacillati; Bacillota; Bacilli; Lactobacillales; Enterococcaceae.